AUACUUAGUACGGCGAGUGAGCGGUAAAAGCUCAAAUUUGAAAUCUGGUACUUUCAGUGCCCGAGUUGUAAUUUGUAGAAUUUGUCUUUGAUUAGGUCCUUGUCUAUGUUCCUUGGAACAGGACGUCAUAGAGGGUGAGAAUCCCGUUUGGCGAGGAUACCUUUUCUCUGUAAGACUUUUUCGAAGAGUCGAGUUGUUUGGGAAUGCAGCUCAAAGUGGGUGGUAAAUUCCAUCUAAAGCUAAAUAUUGGCGAGAGACCGAUAGCGAACAAGUACAGUGAUGGAAAGAUGAAAAGAACUUUGAAAAGAGAGUGAAAAAGUACGUGAAAUUGUUGAAAGGGAAGGGCAUUUGAUCAGACAUGGUGUUUUUUGCAUGCACUCGCCUCUCGUGGGCUUGGGCCUCUCAAAAAUUUCACUGGGCCAACAUCAAUUCUGGCAGUAGGAUAAAUCAUUAAGAAUGUAGCUACCUCGGUAGUGUUAUAGCUUAUUGGAAUACUGCUAGCUGGGAUUGAGGACUGCGCUUCGGCAAGGAUGUUGGCAUAAUGGUUAAAUGCCGCCCGUCUUGAA
RNAcentral lists this ribosomal RNA (566 nucleotides) under Hanseniaspora opuntiae. RNAcentral's name for it is "partial large subunit ribosomal RNA". It matches the Rfam family "Eukaryotic large subunit ribosomal RNA", at positions 73 to 658 of the family's 3401-position model. The record is from RNAcentral. Lineage: Eukaryota; Fungi; Ascomycota; Saccharomycetes; Saccharomycodales; Saccharomycodaceae.